UAAAGAGUCACAAACACCCAUGAAAGUCAUCACACAGCCCAACGUGCCCUUUGGUGAAAUUCCAUUAGCUGAGAUUCAAAGGACUUUCUCAAGACCCACAGCUGAAACAUCUAAUAACCCCGUAGAAAUUUUAAGCAAUAGAGAUAAUACGAUCAAGGAGGAAACAUCCGAGCCCACAAAGAACAACCACGGUUUUAUAGCGCAUUCGAUAGCCCUAAGAUCU
This is a long non-coding RNA of Galeopterus variegatus (Sunda flying lemur), 223 nucleotides long. RefSeq lists it as uncharacterized. The record is from RefSeq and is a predicted model, not a curated record. The transcript has 3 exons. Lineage: Eukaryota; Metazoa; Chordata; Mammalia; Dermoptera; Cynocephalidae.